GCAAGGCGACCUUCUCAACAUGGCGCCCAAUCGGCGCGCGUGAAGGCGGAUCUCGCAAAUCGCUGAGGCCAAUGGCGGUCCGCAAGAGGCGGUGGGGCGGGGAGGACGGCCGCUGCUCGCCCAACCCGAAGCUCCGGAGGUGGCUGGGGAGUGAAUUUUCUGGAAGGCGACUUUAAAGGCGCCUUGCCGGAGUGAAGGGCGUUUCGGUGCCGCGCCGGCCAGAGAGGGCGCAUUUGGUGGCAGGAAGCGAGCUGCGUCGAGGUCGUGGCGGAACCAGACGGUGACCUGCUCAGGAUGAACCACAAGAGCAAGAAGCGCAUCCGCGAGGCCAAGCGGAGUGCGCGACCCGAGCUCAAGGACUCGCUCGACUGGACCCGGCACAACUACUACGAGAGCUUCCCGCUGAGCCCGGCGGCCGUGCCGGAUAACGUGGAGAGGGCUGAUGCUUUACAGCUGUCGGUGGAAGAAUUUGUAGAGCGGUACGAAAGGCCUUACAAGCCCGUGGUUCUGCUGAAUGCCCAGGAGGGCUGGUCCGCGCAGGAGAAAUGGACUCUGGAGCGCCUCAAAAGGAAAUACCGGAACCAGAAGUUUAAGUGUGGCGAGGAUAAUGACGGCUACUCGGUGAAGAUGAAGAUGAAAUACUACAUCGAGUACAUGGAGAGCACCCGCGAUGACAGUCCCCUUUACAUCUUUGACAGCAGCUAUGGUGAACACCCCAAAAGAAGGAAACUUUUAGAAGACUACAAGGUGCCCAAGUUUUUCACGGAUGACCUUUUCCAGUAUGCAGGGGAGAAGCGCAGGCCCCCUUACAGGUGGUUUGUGAUGGGGCCACCACGUUCUGGAACGGGGAUUCACAUUGACCCUCUGGGAACCAGUGCCUGGAAUGCCUUAGUUCAGGGCCACAAGCGUUGGUGCCUGUUCCCGACCAGCACCCCCCGAGAGCUCAUCAAGGUGACCCGAGAAGAAGGAGGGAACCAGCAAGAUGAGGCCAUUACCUGGUUUAACGUCAUUUAUCCUCGGACACAGCUUCCGACCUGGCCACCUGAGUUCAAACCUCUGGAGAUAUUACAGAAACCAGGAGAGACCGUCUUUGUACCAGGGGGCUGGUGGCAUGUUGUCCUCAACCUUGACACCACCAUCGCCAUCACCCAGAACUUUGCCAGCAGCACCAACUUCCCUGUUGUGUGGCACAAGACGGUAAGAGGGAGGCCCAAGUUGUCCCGGAAGUGGUACAGAUACAGCACGGGCAGCGGCAGUUCAAGCCACCCCCAGCCACCCCGUGCCACUGUGUCCCAACCCUGACCUGGAGGGACCAGCUCUCGGGGAUCUUGAAGCAGGAGCACCCUGAGCUGGCAGUCCUGGCGGACGCUGUUGACCUCCAAGAGUCCACAGGCAUCGCUUCGGACAGCUCCAGCGACUCUUCCAGCUCCUCCAGCUCCAGCUCCUCCGACACGGACUCAGAGUGUGAGUCUGGGUCUGAAGGUGACGGGACAACACACCGGAGGAAGAAGAGGAGGACAUGCAGCAUGGUGGGAAACGGGGACACUACCUCACAGGACGACUGUGUGAGCAAAGAGCGCAGCUCCUCCAGGUGACCGCAGGUGGCACUUGUCUGGGCAAGGAUGUGCUCGAAGCCAUGGGCAAGGCCCAAGCCUGGGGAGGGGCAGCCCAUCGGAAUCUGCAGAACCAGGGAGGGUGACGCCGGAGAAGGAGGACUCUGAAUGGGAAUUGAUAGCAUUUGGUACAAUGGCUUUUUCUCCACGCUCAUGUCUUUUAGCAAAGGGCAGAGGUGUGUAGAGGGUGCCAAGGAAGCCCUUUCCCUAUUUAAUAAAAGCAAUCCAUUUUACAUCUUG
Peromyscus leucopus (white-footed mouse) is the source of this 1853-nucleotide RNA transcript. It is a transcript of the gene named jumonji domain containing 6, arginine demethylase and lysine hydroxylase, with no coding region annotated. The transcript is spliced from 7 exons. Lineage: Eukaryota; Metazoa; Chordata; Mammalia; Rodentia; Cricetidae. The record is from RefSeq and is a predicted model, not a curated record.